Poecilia reticulata (guppy) is the source of this 1027-nucleotide non-coding RNA. Lineage: Eukaryota; Metazoa; Chordata; Actinopteri; Cyprinodontiformes; Poeciliidae. The record is from RefSeq and is a predicted model, not a curated record.
UAUGCAGAGUGCAUUGAUCAGCUCAUGAAAACAGGUUGAUUUCACACUGCUCCAUAGCUCAGGGCUAAGCUCUAAAGUGGGUGAUAAUAUAGCGAUUUUCAGGCGAGCAGGACUUGAUUUGGUUGAUGAAUUAGUUUAGUGCUCUGAAAAGUUAUUGGGUAAGCCAGUCUUGUGCAGCAAGUUGUGAAUAUUUAAUGUAUAAAAUAACUUUUGUUAUUGAGCUGGGAUUUUAGCUGCAGCUGUGCGGGUGUAAUUGCACCUCCUGUGUUGUUCUAUAGAUACAUUAGUGGAAAAAAAAUAAAAAUAAAUAAAAAUCAUCGUAUCUGUCUUAGUCAUUCAUUAUGGGUAGAAUCUUGAAAUCUUGUAGGAUACACCUGGGUAAAUGUUUUGAAAUUUGCAUAUAUAUUGCUUGAAGCCAACAUUAUUUAACAUUAAGUGGUUGUGUUUGUUUGAGACUGUGAAUAUCACUUGAUUUGUGCUCUUUUUUGUUUUGUUUUCAAGGAACAAUGUCAACAGAAACUUUAAGCAGGGAAACGGAAUCUGCCUGUUUUAUCAGAGCAGUCACUCAGGGAAACCCACUCUCAUCUGACUCAGGCACAAUGGCGUCAUCCUCCUCUCAGCCCAUCCCAGGAUGUCUGGUCGUCUGUGUCUACGUGUCAGGCAACCUGUCGUUGCUUGGGGAGUUUAGUCCUCCAAUCCUAUUGUACAUACAGUUAAGAACCGGAGAAUUGCUUCAAACGUUAAUAGGGAGGUGGUUAAUCUGGACCUUAUGCUUGACUAUAAUUAGGAUUCAGGUCCUUCUGAUGGCUAACAGACGUCCAACUCCAAGAAAACUCAUCAAGUGUUUUAUGUCAGCUGGAAUUACCAAUGUUUUUCUAUUUGCCAAAUAUCAUAAUAAUGAGAGAAAGAAUUUGCCAAAUGUAUAUGUUCAUGUGUUCAAAAUCAGAAAUGCACACACAUUUUAUCAGUGUUUGACUGCAUUUGAACUGUAAGACUUUGGUCAAAUAUUUUGAGUUUCCUUCCACAA